GAGCGCGGCGGGGAGGGGAAGCCUUCAGCAGGCUGGCCAGGAACGAAGGCGGCAGCAUGGCAGCAGGCUGCUCUGAGGAUACACUGGAAGGAGGACAAAGCACCCAGGAAAGGAACAUUUUCAAUAAAAAUGGCGUUUUCACAUGAAUAAGGAAGCCCCUGGGAUGAACCCUGUGACACAGGACAGAGGUUCAAGAUGUGGCCUGUGGAUUGACCACUUCUGAGGGUGCACAAAGGACCCCUGAGAAAGAUGAACCAAACGAGUGAUCUGUGGCUGGGGUUUCCCUAGGGCAAAAAUCCAGGCAGUCAGGACUCUCUCCUGUGAGCACAAUGUGUAACAACCUGGCCGAAGAUCUCACUCAACAGCAGCUAGCCUGUUGCACAGCAGUCUGAUUACACAUCCCUGUGCACUUCCAAACCAGCCUCAUCUGGGCAGAGAUUAGUCACUGUAAACUCCUGGACUAAGGUCUGCUGCCUGAUGGAUUUCUGAGGACUAGAGACCCUGCUACAUGCAUGCCCUGAAACCUGUAGAAGCAAGAGCCCCAGCUGACUGCUGCCACAUGCUCCCUUGGAAUCCCAUGUAGGGGCAGGCAAGUCAAGGUGACUUGCCAAGUCCCUUUUGAGAUAACACAGCAGGAAAUAGGUUUGAACUGUGCUGGCUUUGCUCCCUGAGCACUCAAAAAUUAUACCCUUUGAAAACUACAUUAGGUUCCAUAUAUAUCUUCCUUCAUUUGACUUCUGACUGAGGUUAUAACUUGUCAGCAUUGCAAACUGCACAAGUCUCUUUCACAAGACCUUCUGGUAACAGGGAGCUGGCCCUCCUGCAUAACCCACUGUGUUCAGCUCAGCAAACAGGCUUCCCACUGUCUGCAUUCAACCUGCCCACACUGUCCCAGCUUACAUAAAGUUCAUUGAUCCCUAAGGGUAGCCUGGCCAAGGUCAACUGCCUGACUUGCUGUUAGGAUGGCUCUCCAGAGAAACUGUCCAGAAGUUGAUGGUCCAUAUUGCCUCUUCACAAGCAAGAGUUAAUGCAACCACAUUGUCAGUCAAUACCCCAGAGAUGCAAAGCAGACUCCAUCACAUUAUAUUCAAUCCCAAAGCCCCACAGGGAAACCUUUCCACUGAGAUGCCAGGCUGAAGUUGGCAGAAUUUAAGAUUAUGCCUGAAAUGAAGCAGAAAAUUGCUUCUGUUUUAUUUCUAAGCUACAUGUUACUCCAGUGACCAGAUAUUCCACAUUAAAAGUGCACUGGAAACUACCCAGAAACCGAGGUGUGGCAUUAAUUCUACCUCCUUUCUAUAGUCUGAGUGGUUAGCUGGUGCCCAGCAGUCUUAAGAAGAUUAAAUAUCACUUUAGUUUCAAAAGCCUUCUGUUCUGACUAUAAAAAUACUACCACUGCAAUAAUAAUACAGCUGAUUGUAAAGCUUCAAUGUUUGGCUUGGAUUAAUACUGCUGCUACUUCAUUUCACAGGGAAAGUAGCACAGUGGUGUUAUCUCCUCCAGACAAGAAGGGUUAAUUACCCAUUAUUCAUUACAGCAAUUGUGGUUUUGCUUCCCUGAUGGAAAAUUUGUGUUGUUUUCUGCUUCAUAAACAAUGGGAUAAUCUUAUCAAAAGAAAAAAAAUGACCUCUGAUAGCAGAUUUUUUUUCCUCCAUUAACCUUUUCAAAAAAGGAAAAGCAUUAAAAAGUGCAGAAAUACUUUUAGCUAGUGAUUUAUUUAUUUAUUAAGGUUAAAAAGCUACUGUGGAGCCAGUAAAGCUGGAGGACAUGCCCAUCUCCCUAGCUGAACACCACAGUACUCUUCUGCAGGAGACAGCUCACAGAAGAGACUUUCAGGGAGGUGUUAUCUGAAAACCAUCCAAGCCCCUUUCCGCUUUCUCACCUUCAAAGAGGAAAAGUAGAGCAGACAGCAUGGCACUUGCCAGGCUCUAUGUCCUUCACCACCACCAGGAAGGUGACCUCCCCUGCUGAUGGCCCAGGACUUCAUCUGUGAAAUGGGGAGUAAGAGUUUCCCACCAACUGGGAGUAACAUGAGGAUAAAUACAGCCAAACUGUGUGCCUCUCUGGUACCGACAGAGAUGCAGAGAGACAGGCAUGUUGUUUUAGUCAAGUGUGUGUAACUCACUUAAAUUUACCAUGCAGUUUCAACUUGCAAUCCCAUAUUUCCUGUCCUAAUCUCAUACACAAUGUGCCACUUGUGCUGUUAGGCAGCUUCUCUGUGGCUGCUCCAUAGCAAUGGGCAAAUUGAUUCCUACAGGAAAGGCCAGACUCGGAGAAAUACUUCCAGAUACAUACACAGUUUCCACUGUUCUAAAAUGGGAGUAGCUGUUGUGCUCAGGAGUAACAACUGGUGGAAGAAAAAGGCAUAGGUAUAAGGCACAGAGGAGCUUCCCAGUCUCAGCUCUGCCCAAUGCCUCUGAGUAAAUGCAAGCAAGUUCUUUGCACCUCUUACUGUCUCAAGAGUUUGCCUGUAGUAAUAUUGAUUCUGCCUUUUCUGCUCUUCCUACAAUUACUGAUUCUUUGGGCAAGGGUUGCUAAACUGUCCACAGUCAAUUGUGCAACAGGACCCUUCUACAAAGAGUUAGUAAUAACUAAGAGUAACACUGGUAUUCCUUUAGGGAAAAGGCUAAGUGAAAACUCCUUCUAGCAACCCCUACAGCACAAGAGCAACCUCACAGAACUACCACAGUCUUGGUCAAAGCACAUUAAAAUCCAUUAAAAUGUUUCACUGGCUUCAGAGUACAAUGGAUGAAGGACAUUACUGUGAACAACACUGACAGACCCAACAACUCAAAACUGUUCUCCAGUGACCAUUUCCUUGAAGGGCUGAAAUGUUCUCCAUCAUCUCAAUGGACUCUAUCCACAAGAUCGAAGCAAUGCCACAGAAAAACAAAACAGAAUACACAGAAAUACUCCAUAAAAAGGAAUGGAAAGCACAAGCUCCCGACUGCCAGAGCUGAGAAAAUUGGACAAAUGCUUUGCCUUCAGCAACAAACAUCCCCUGCAGGAAUGGUGGACAGUGUGAAGCCACUCCAGCAGGGGCAAUUCACCUGAUAAAAGGAUGACAAACCUGAGACAGAGACAAGGAGGUGAAGUUCCAGUGGGAAUCAGGGAAAUGCUGUUUGAGAAGGCAUCAACUAGUCUCAUAGAGAAGACCCUUCAUGCCAGAUAACAGUCACUCCCUGCCUGCAGCACUGCCCUUCAGGCCACAGCACGUGUAUUCUUUUGAGAGCUCCAGUGAAAUAUGAGUGAGAGGCACAGAUUAGAAUCUGGCCUGGAAUUAUGAUUUGAACUCUGCAAAAACGGAUACAGCAGGUCAAAUUCUCCUCUCGGUUACACCGGAGCAGCAUUCCAGCAGAGAACAGCAAAUCCAGCUCAGAUGCAUGGAGGAGACUUAUCCAGAACAACAGAAUGGGGCAGAUGAUCAGAAAAAGGAUGGAGCAAAGGACGUCCCCUCUUCAGAGAGCCAGCUUCAACCUUUUAACUGCUUCAUUAUGGUUUGUAUAAAACUCUGACAAAUAUGUACUCACCCAGGGCACCUGAAAAUUUACUCUGAGGGUCUAUGUGAAAUGAUCCCAAAUCACUACCAUGGGUAAAUUGUGCCUUAGGUGAAUAUAAAUUCACUUGACAAACACUCAGUUCUGACCCCAAGAUUCCUGUUUCCAAGCUUUUCUGAUACAUACAUCAGCAAACAAAUGGCUUAUAUAUUUGAGUUUGACUCCAAACAAAAUUUAAAAUAAUCCAUGUCAUGAAAUAAAA
This is a long non-coding RNA of Pogoniulus pusillus (Red-fronted tinkerbird), 3756 nucleotides long. RefSeq lists it as uncharacterized. NCBI's taxonomy places the organism in Eukaryota, Metazoa, Chordata, Aves, Piciformes, Lybiidae. The transcript is spliced from 3 exons. The record is from RefSeq and is a predicted model, not a curated record.